This 346-nucleotide ribosomal RNA is filed under the name uncultured bacterium. RNAcentral's name for it is "bacterial SSU rRNA". It matches the Rfam family "Bacterial small subunit ribosomal RNA", at positions 1 to 334 of the family's 1533-position model. The record is from RNAcentral.
CGAUCACGUUCAGAGUUUGAUCCUGGCUCAGGAUGAACGCUAGCUACAGGCUUAACGCAUGCAAGUCGAGGGGCAGCAUGGUCUUAGCUUGCUAAGACUGAUGGCGACCGGCGCACGGGUGAGUAACACGUAUCCAACCUGCCGUCUACUCUUGGACAGCCUUCUGAAAGGAAGAUUAAUACAAGAUGGCAUCAUGAGUCCGCAUGUUCACAUGAUUAAAGGUAUUCCGGUAGACGAUGGGGAUGCGUUCCAUUAGAUAGUAGGCGGGGUAACGGCCCACCUAGUCUUCGAUGGAUAGGGGUUCUGAGAGGAAGGUCCCCCACAUUGGAACUGAGACACGGUCCAA